This 467-nucleotide ribosomal RNA is filed under the name uncultured bacterium. RNAcentral describes it as "partial 16S ribosomal RNA". It matches the Rfam family "Bacterial small subunit ribosomal RNA", at positions 28 to 506 of the family's 1533-position model. The record is from RNAcentral.
GACGAACGCUGGCGGCGUGCUUAACACAUGCAAGUCGAACGGAAAGGCCCUGCUUUUGUGGGGUGCUCGAGUGGCGAACGGGUGAGUAACACGUGAGUAACCUGCCCUUGACUUUGGGAUAACUUCAGGAAACUGGGGCUAAUACCGGAUAGGAGCUCCUGCUGCAUGGUGGGGGUUGGAAAGUUUCGGCGGUUGGGGAUGGACUCGCGGCUUAUCAGCUUGUUGGUGGGGUAGUGGCUUACCAAGGCUUUGACGGGUAGCCGGCCUGAGAGGGUGACCGGCCAAAUUGGGACGGAGUUACGGCCCAACCUCCUACGGGGGGCAGAGGGGGGGAAUAUUGCACAAGGGGCGGAAGCCUGUGGCAGCACCCCCGCGUGCGGGAUGACGGCCUUCGGGUGGUAAACCGCUUUCGCCUGUGACGAAGGGUGGGUGGCGGUAAUUGGAAAAAAAGCACCGGCUAACUACGG